CUCAAAAUCUGGAGUGUGGUUGUUGUGAUAUGAUGUGUUUGUCGAUAGAGGGCAGUGUUGAGGUGUGGUUUCUCUUUGUGUUGCUCCUCAGAAAGACAGGUCACUCGGGUCAGAAAAUAAAGUCAUAUACA
Sinocyclocheilus grahami is the source of this 131-nucleotide long non-coding RNA. RefSeq lists it as uncharacterized. The record is from RefSeq and is a predicted model, not a curated record. NCBI's taxonomy places the organism in Eukaryota, Metazoa, Chordata, Actinopteri, Cypriniformes, Cyprinidae. The transcript is spliced from 3 exons.